RNAcentral lists this ribosomal RNA (253 nucleotides) under uncultured bacterium. RNAcentral's name for it is "partial 16S ribosomal RNA". It matches the Rfam family "Bacterial small subunit ribosomal RNA", at positions 524 to 776 of the family's 1533-position model. The record is from RNAcentral.
GACGAGGGGUCCUAGCGUUGUUCGGAAUCAUUGGGCGUAAAGCGGGUGUAGGCGGCUCUAUAAGUCAGAAGUGAAAGCCCUGGGCUUAACCCGGGAAGUGCUUUUGAUACUGCAGAGCUUGAAUGUGGGAGAGGGUAGUGGAAUUCCAGGUGUAGUGGUGAAAUACGUAGAUAUCUGGAGGAACACCGGUGGCGAAGGCGGCUACCUGGCCCAACAUUGACGCUGAGACCCGAAAGCAUGGGGAUCAAACAGG